AUCUCUGAAACGUGACUACGGUCACAUUCAAGAUUAUUCUUAUUUUGUAAUCAGUGGACGGCUCCCUGGGCUUGCUCAUAGCCGUCCUCACAGUGUCGUCCGUAUCGCACUACCUCGGACUGACGCGAAUUUUUU
Molecule: small nuclear RNA, 135 nt
Filed under: Bipolaris sorokiniana
Lineage: Eukaryota; Fungi; Ascomycota; Dothideomycetes; Pleosporales; Pleosporaceae
Also listed under: 1 other name
Description: Cochliobolus sativus U2 spliceosomal RNA
Rfam family: U2 spliceosomal RNA
About the family: U2 is a small nuclear RNA (snRNA) component of the spliceosome (involved in pre-mRNA splicing). Complementary binding between U2 snRNA (in an area lying towards the 5' end but 3' to hairpin I) and the branchpoint sequence (BPS) of the intron results the bulging out of an unpaired adenosine, on the BPS, which initiates a nucleophilic attack at the intronic 5' splice site, thus starting the first of two transesterification reactions that mediate splicing.
Source: Rfam by way of RNAcentral